GAUGAACGCUGGCGGCGUGCCUAAUACAUGCGAGUCGAGCGAACAGACGAGGAGCUUGCUCCUCUGACGUUAGCGGCGGACGGGUGAGUAACACGUGGAUAACCUACCUAUAAGACUGGGAUAACUUCGGGAAACCGGAGCUAAUACCGGAUAAUAUAUUGAACCGCAUGGUUCAAUAGUGAAAGACGGUUUUGCUGUCACUUAUAGAUGGAUCCGCGCCGCAUUAGCUAGUUGGUAAGGUAACGGCUUACCAAGGCGACGAUGCAUAGCCGACCUGAGAGGGUGAUCGGCCACACUGGAACUGAGACACGGUCCAGACUCCUACGGGAGGCAGCAGUAGGGAAUCUUCCGCAAUGGGCGAAAGCCUGACGGAGCAACGCCGCGUGAGUGAUGAAGGUCUUCGGAUCGUAAAACUCUGUUAUUAGGGAAGAACAAAUGUGUAAGUAACUAUGCACGUCUUGACGGUACCUAAUCAGAAAGCCACGGCUAACUACGUG
This 497-nucleotide ribosomal RNA is filed under the name uncultured bacterium. RNAcentral describes it as "partial 16S ribosomal RNA". It matches the Rfam family "Bacterial small subunit ribosomal RNA", at positions 28 to 507 of the family's 1533-position model. The record is from RNAcentral.